This 208-nucleotide ribosomal RNA is filed under the name uncultured delta proteobacterium. Its description in RNAcentral is "partial 16S ribosomal RNA". It matches the Rfam family "Bacterial small subunit ribosomal RNA", at positions 568 to 775 of the family's 1533-position model. The record is from RNAcentral. Lineage: Bacteria; Deltaproteobacteria.
CGUGUAGGCGGUUGGAUAAGUCAGAUGUGAAAGCCCUGGGCUCAACCCAGGAAGUGCAUUUGAAACUGUUCUACUUGAGUACGGGAGAGGAAAGUGGAAUUCCUGGUGUAGAGGUGAAAUUCGUAGAUAUCAGGAGGAACACCGGUGGCGAAGGCGACUUUCUGGCCCGAUACUGACGCUGAGACGCGAGAGCGUGGGGAGCAAACAG